AUACGUAGGGGGCGAGCGUUGUCCGGAAUGAUUGGGCGUAAAGGGCGCGUAGGCGGCGCGGUAAGUCUGGAGUGAAAGUCCUGCUUUCAAGGUGGGAAUUGCUUUGGAUACUGCCGCGCUUGAGUGCAGGAGAGGUUAUCGGAAUUCCCGGUGUAGCGGUGAAAUGCGUAGAGAUCGGGAGGAACACCAGUGGCGAAGGCGGGUAACUGGACUGCAACUGACGCUGAGGCGCGAAAGUGUGGGGAGCAAACAGGAUUAGAUACCCUGGUAGUCCACUCUGUAAACGAUGAAUGCUAGGUGUAAGAGGUAUCGACCCCUUUUGUGCCGGAGUCAACACAAUAAGCAUUCCGCCUGUGGAGUACGGCCGCAAGGUUGAAACUCAAAUGAAUUUACGGGG
This 397-nucleotide ribosomal RNA is filed under the name uncultured bacterium. Its description in RNAcentral is "partial 16S ribosomal RNA". It matches the Rfam family "Bacterial small subunit ribosomal RNA", at positions 523 to 918 of the family's 1533-position model. The record is from RNAcentral.